UGGGGAAUAUUGGACAAUGGGGGAAACCCUGAUCCAGCAAUGCCGCGUGAGUGAAGAAGGCCUUAGGGUUGUAAAGCUCUCUCGCCCGCGAAGAUAAUGACGGUAGCGGGGGAAGAAGCCCCGGCUAACUCCGUGCCAGCAGCCGCGGUAAUACGGAGGGGGCUAGCGUUGUUCGGAAUUACUGGGCGUAAAGCGUACGUAGGCGGAUGCGCAAGUUGGGGGUGAAAUCCCGGGGCUUAACCUCGGAAUUGCCCUCAAAACUGCACGUCUUGAGACCGAGAGAGGUAAGGGGAAUUCCUAGUGUAGAGGUGAAAUUCGUAGAUAUUAGGAAGAACACCAGUGCGAAGGCGCCUUACUGGCUCGGUACUGACGCUGAGGUACGAAAGCGUGGGGAGCAAAC
Molecule: ribosomal RNA, 400 nt
Filed under: uncultured bacterium
Lineage: Bacteria
Description: bacterial SSU rRNA
Rfam family: Bacterial small subunit ribosomal RNA
Source: RNAcentral